Non-coding RNA from Poecilia reticulata (guppy), 531 nucleotides. The record is from RefSeq and is a predicted model, not a curated record. Lineage: Eukaryota; Metazoa; Chordata; Actinopteri; Cyprinodontiformes; Poeciliidae.
UUGAAGUUAGCUUCCGAUUGUAGCUUCCAGGGUUCUCCGGAAGUGACCCAGACUAAGCAGGGAAUCCUCCAUUGGACGAGCCGUCUGGACAUUUGGCCGGAGAUCAUACAUCCACCGCCAUGCUGAGAAGAACUCCCUUGAUGGGAUUUUGGAUUGGAAGAUGGUGGAAGGUGUUGAAUUGGAGUUGUUGCUGAAACCAACUUAACACAAAAAUGAUGUCGCAGACAUGGGACCUGAGCCUGGGAACCAGCAGUAGGAGAGUUCACUUUAAGUGCUGUUAGCAAGUUCCACUUCAUGCAGUUGUGCCGACCAGGUCACGGAGGGAGGCAUGACUUGUGUGUACCUGUCAGAGAUCCAACUGAGGGACCCAUCUGGCAUCGCCGAAGUACAGACACAGCACAUAGACACAAACAAGACCUUUCUCAAAUGGCGUAAAGGUAAUUAUUGCCCUUGCUCCUGUUUGCAGGCUCUUCUUACCAGUAAUCAUACUGUAUGUCACAUGCUGUACUGCAUUACAUGGUAUAGUUGCCU